GGUACGACGUGUGAGGCAGCGGGGGGAAGAUGGUGGAGGAAAGUGUUGAACGGAGUUGAUUGGCGUAUAGCGAACGGAGGUGGGUGGCUAAGCUAGCUGUGAAAGCCCCGGGCACAAGCUGUGCACUGGAGGUAGAACUGGCAAGCUAGAGUAGGGUAGAGGGGUGUGGAAUUCCAGGUGUAGCGUUGAAAGGCGUAGAUAUCUGGAGGAACAUCAGUGGCGAAGGCGACACCCUGGACUCAUACUGACACUGAGGUGCGAAAGCGUGGGGAGCAAACAGGAGUAGAUACCCUGGUAGUC
This 300-nucleotide ribosomal RNA is filed under the name uncultured Halopenitus sp. Its description in RNAcentral is "partial 16S ribosomal RNA". The stretch from base 52 to 300 matches the Rfam family "Bacterial small subunit ribosomal RNA", at positions 547 to 795 of the family's 1533-position model. The record is from RNAcentral. Lineage: Archaea; Methanobacteriati; Methanobacteriota; Halobacteria; Halobacteriales; Haloferacaceae.